RNAcentral lists this ribosomal RNA (499 nucleotides) under uncultured Sphingobacteriales bacterium. Its description in RNAcentral is "bacterial SSU rRNA". It matches the Rfam family "Bacterial small subunit ribosomal RNA", at positions 903 to 1382 of the family's 1533-position model. The record is from RNAcentral. Lineage: Bacteria; Pseudomonadati; Bacteroidota; Sphingobacteriia; Sphingobacteriales.
CCUUGCCAGCCCGCUCAGAACUCAAAGGAAUUGACGGGGCCCGCACAAGCGGUGGAGCAUGUGGUUUAAUUCGAUGAUACGCGAGGAACCUUACCUGGGCUCAAAUGUAUGUUGACGUAUUCUGAAAGGGAUACUUCUUCGGACAAUAUACAAGGUGCUGCAUGGUUGUCGUCAGCUCGUGCCGUGAGGUGUCGGGUUAAGUCCCAUAACGAGCGCAACCCCUAUCAUUAGUUGCCAUCAGGUCAAGCUGGGGACUCUAAUGAAACUGCCUACGCAAGUAGUGAGGAAGGUGGGGAUGACGUCAAAUCAGCACGGCCCUUACGUCCGGGGCGACACACGUGUUACAAUGGGUGGUACAAAGGGCAGCUACCUGGCGACAGGAUGCUAAUCUCGAAAACCGCUCUCAGUUCGGAUCGGAGUCUGCAACUCGACUCCGUGAAGCUGGAUUCGCUAGUAAUCGCGCAUCAGCCACGGCGCGGUGAAUACGUUCCCGGGCCUU